RNAcentral lists this transfer RNA (77 nucleotides) under Thioalkalivibrio sp. RNAcentral describes it as "tRNA-Arg". It matches the Rfam family "tRNA". Rfam says of the family: Transfer RNA (tRNA) molecules are approximately 80 nucleotides in length. Their secondary structure includes four short double-helical elements and three loops (D, anti-codon, and T loops). Lineage: Bacteria; Pseudomonadati; Pseudomonadota; Gammaproteobacteria; Chromatiales; Ectothiorhodospiraceae. The record is from RNAcentral.
GUCCCCGUAGCUCAGCUGGAUAGAGUGGCCCCCUCCUAAGGGGCAGGUCACAGGUUCGAAUCCUGUCGGGGACGCCA